RNAcentral lists this non-coding RNA (86 nucleotides) under unclassified sequences. RNAcentral describes it as "c-di-GMP sequence". It matches the Rfam family "c-di-GMP-II-GAG riboswitch aptamer". The record is from Rfam by way of RNAcentral.
UCACAGGCGGGGGGCGUUGACACGCGGUCCAUCUUGCAGGCCGCCCGGACCGCAUCGAGCCACUGGCGAGACCGCCCUGCAACCGC